RNAcentral lists this ribosomal RNA (694 nucleotides) under uncultured bacterium. RNAcentral describes it as "bacterial SSU rRNA". It matches the Rfam family "Bacterial small subunit ribosomal RNA", at positions 32 to 715 of the family's 1533-position model. The record is from RNAcentral.
AACGCUAGCUACAGGCUUAACACAUGCAAGUCGAGGGGCAGCAUGAACUUAGCUUGCUAAGUUUGAUGGCGACCGGCGCACGGGUGAGUAACGCGUAUCCAACCUUCCGUACACUCAGGAAUAGCCUUUCGAAAGAAAGAUUAAUACCUGAUGGUAUGAUGAGAUUGCAUGAAAUCAUCAUUAAAGAUUCAUCGGUGUACGAUGGGGAUGCGUUCCAUUAGAUAGUAGGCGGGGUAACGGCCCACCUAGUCAACGAUGGAUAGGGGUUCUGAGAGGAAGGUCCCCCACAUUGGAACUGAGACACGGUCCAAACUCCUACGGGAGGCAGCAGUGAGGAAUAUUGGUCAAUGGGCGCGAGCCUGAACCAGCCAAGUAGCGUGAAGGAUGAAGGUCCUACGGAUUGUAAACUUCUUUUAUAAGGGAAUAAAGUCACCUACGUGUAGGUGUUUGUAUGUACCUUAUGAAUAAGCAUCGGCUAACUCCGUGCCAGCAGCCGCGGUAAUACGGAGGAUGCGAGCGUUAUCCGGAUUUAUUGGGUUUAAAGGGAGCGUAGACGGGUCGUUAAGUCAGCUGUGAAAGUUUGAGGCUCAACCUUAAAAUUGCAGUUGAUACUGGCGUCCUUGAGUACGGUUGAGGCAGGCGGAAUUCGUGGUGUAGCGGUGAAAUGCAUAGAUAUCACGAAGAACUCCGAUUG